Molecule: ribosomal RNA, 207 nt
Filed under: uncultured bacterium
Lineage: Bacteria
Description: partial 16S ribosomal RNA
Rfam family: Bacterial small subunit ribosomal RNA
Source: RNAcentral
CGCGUAGGCGGUCUGUUAAGUCAGAUGUGAAAGCCCUGGGCUUAACCUGGGAACUGCAUUUGAUACUGGCGGGCUAGAGUAUGGUAGAGGGAAGUGGAAUUCCGGGUGUAGCGGUGAAAUGCGUAGAUAUCCGGAAGAACACCAGUGGCGAAGGCGGCUUUCUGGACCAAUACUGACGCUGAGGCGCGAAAGCGUGGGGAGCAAACA